CAGUAGCCACGGUAAUACGGAGGGUGCAAGCGUUAAUCGGAAUUACUGGGCGUAAAGCGUGCGUAGGCGGUUCGUUAAGUCUGUUGUGAAAGCCCCGGGCUCAACCUGGGAAUGGCAAUGGAUACUGGCGAGCUAGAGUGUGUCAGAGGAUGGUGGAAUUCCCGGUGUAGCGGUGAAAUGCGUAGAGAUCGGGAGGAACAUCAGUGGCGAAGGCGGCCAUCUGGGACAACACUGACGCUGAGGCACGAAAGCGUGGGGAGCAAACAGGAUUAGAGACCCCUGUAGUCCCUGUCUCUUAUAA
This 301-nucleotide ribosomal RNA is filed under the name uncultured bacterium. RNAcentral describes it as "partial 16S ribosomal RNA". It matches the Rfam family "Bacterial small subunit ribosomal RNA", at positions 509 to 809 of the family's 1533-position model. The record is from RNAcentral.